This 454-nucleotide ribosomal RNA is filed under the name Mirapecten moluccensis. RNAcentral describes it as "partial 16S ribosomal RNA". It matches the Rfam family "Bacterial large subunit ribosomal RNA", at positions 1837 to 2596 of the family's 2925-position model. Lineage: Eukaryota; Metazoa; Mollusca; Bivalvia; Pectinida; Pectinidae. The record is from RNAcentral.
GCUUCUUGAUCAUCAUGGUCGUGCCUUCCCAGUGAGUCUUCGCUUAAACGGACGCGGUAAACGUGCUAAGGUAGCUAAAUUACGGCCUAUUAAUUGUAGGUCCUGUGAAUGGUUUGACGAGCCCUCAACUGUCUCUAGUUUAUUUUGGUGAACUUGAAUUGGAUGUGCAAAUGCUUCCGUGGGUGAGAAAGACGAGAAGACCCCGUGAAGCUAGAAAUUCAGGUUAGGGGGGGCUGAUUUUGGCUGGGGCAGCGAAAGAGCAAGACUAGCCUCUUUUAAGCGGGUGCGCGACGACCCACAAUACUGUGAUUAUCAGAAGAAGUUACUCCGGGGAUAACAGCGUAAUCCCCCCGAUAGUCCUUAUAGACGGGUGGGUUUGCGACCUCGAUGUUGCUCUGGAUAUCCUUAGGCUUGAGGCGGUCUUUAAGGUUGGUUUGUUCGCCCAUAAAAAUCC